Molecule: ribosomal RNA, 253 nt
Filed under: uncultured bacterium
Lineage: Bacteria
Description: partial 16S ribosomal RNA
Rfam family: Bacterial small subunit ribosomal RNA
Source: RNAcentral
UACGGGGGGGGCAAGCGUUGUUCGGAAUUACUGGGCGUAAAGGGCUCGUAGGCGGCCAACUAAGUCAAACGUGAAAUCCCUCGGCUUAACCGGGGAACUGCGCUUGAUACUGGAUGGCUUGAGAUUGGGAGAGGGAUGCGGAAUUCCAGGUGUAGCGGUGAAAUGCGUAGAUAUCUGGAGGAACACCGGUGGCGAAGGCGACAUCCUGGACCAAUACUGACGCUGAGGAGCGAAAGCCAGGGGAGCAAACGGG